Molecule: ribosomal RNA, 301 nt
Filed under: uncultured bacterium
Lineage: Bacteria
Description: partial 16S ribosomal RNA
Rfam family: Bacterial small subunit ribosomal RNA
Source: RNAcentral
CAGCAGCCGCGGUAAUACAGAGGGUGCGAGCGUUAAUCGGAUUUACUGGGCGUAAAGCGUGCGUAGGCGGCUUCUUAAGUCGGAUGUGAAAUCCCCGGGCUUAACCUGGGAACUGCAUUUGAAACUGUCAGGCUGGAGUCUUGUAGAGGGGGGUAGAAUUCCAGGUGUAGCGGUGAAAUGCGUAGAGAUCUGGAGGAAUACCGGUGGCGAAGGCGGCCCCCUGGACAAAGACUGACGCUCAGGUGCGAAAGCGUGGGGAGCAAACAGGAUUAGAUACCCGCGUAGUCCCUGUCUCUUAUAC